This 496-nucleotide ribosomal RNA is filed under the name uncultured bacterium. Its description in RNAcentral is "partial 16S ribosomal RNA". It matches the Rfam family "Bacterial small subunit ribosomal RNA", at positions 28 to 506 of the family's 1533-position model. The record is from RNAcentral.
GAUGAACGCUGGCGGCGUGCCUAAUACAUGCAAGUCGAGCGAACGGACGAGAAGCUUGCUUUUCUGAUGUUAGCGGCGGACGGGUGAGUAACACGUGGAUAACCUACCUAUAAGACUGGGAUAACUUCGGGAAACCGGAGCUAAUACCGGCUAAUAUUUUGAAUCGCAUGGUUCAGAAGUGAAAGACGGUCUUGCUGUCCCUUAUAGAUGGAUCCGCGUUGCAUUAGCUAGUUGGUAAGGUAACGGCUUACCAAGGCAACGAUGCAUAGCCGACCUGAGAGGGUGAUCGGCCAGACUGGAACGGAGACACGGUCCAGAGUCCUACGGGAGGCAGCAGUAGGGAAUCUUGCGCAAUGGGCGAAAGCCUGACGGAGCAACGCCGCGUGAGUGAUGAAGGUCUUCGGAUCGUAAAACUCUGUUAUUAGGGAAGAACAGAUGUGUAAGUAACUGUGCACAUCUUGACGGUACCUAAUCAGAAAGCCACGGCUAACUACGU